CCGCUGAACUUAAGCAUAUC
Molecule: ribosomal RNA, 20 nt
Filed under: Melampsora sp. TSH-R7689
Lineage: Eukaryota; Fungi; Basidiomycota; Pucciniomycetes; Pucciniales; Melampsoraceae
Also listed under: 2 other names
Description: partial 28S ribosomal RNA
Source: RNAcentral